RNAcentral lists this ribosomal RNA (347 nucleotides) under Parasilvanus sp. BYU CO770. RNAcentral describes it as "partial 12S ribosomal RNA". The record is from RNAcentral. Lineage: Eukaryota; Metazoa; Arthropoda; Insecta; Coleoptera; Silvanidae.
UUUAGGAGAAUUAGUUUAUACCAGAUUAUUAUUAGUUAUAGUCUUGAAAAUUAAAAGAUUUGGCGGUAUUUUAGUCUUUUCAGAGGAACCUGUCUAUUAAUUGACAUUCCACGAUUUAAUUUACUUUUACUAUUAGUUUGUAUAUCGUCGUUAUUGACUAUUUCUUGAGAAUAUAAUAUUCAUAAUUUUUUUAGAAAUUAAAUCAGAUCAAGAUGCAGUUUAUGUAAAAGUUAGGAUGGGUUACAAUAACUUUAAUUAUACGAAUAUAAUUUUGUAAAUUUUAUUGAAGGAGGAUUUGAGAGUAAUUUUUAUUAGAUUAUAAGAAUGAUUUUAGCUCUAGGAUAUGU